AUUGAACGCUGGCGGAAUGCUUUACACAUGCAAGUCGAACGGUAGAGGGCGCAACCCCUAGAGAGUGGCGAACGGGUGGGUAAUACAUCGGGACAUGCGCAGUCGUGGGGGCUAACGUAGGGAAAGCUACGCGCAUACCGCAUACUAUCUAUGGAUGAAAUCGGGGGGCCGAAAGGCCGCGCGCGAAUGGAGUGGCCGAUGGCAGAUUAGGUAGUUGGUGGGGUAAAGGCCUACCAAGGCUGCGAUCUGUAGCUGGUCUGGGAGGACGACCAGCCACACUGGGACUGGGACACGGCCCCGGCUCCUACGGGGGGCAGCAGUGGGGAAUUUUGGACAAUGGGCGCAAGCCUGAUCCAGCCAUUCCGCGUGCAGGAUGAAGGCCCUCGGGUUGUAAACUGCUUUUGUACGGAACGAAAAGGUGGCCUCUAAUACAGGUUGCUGAUGACGGUACCGUAAGAAUAAGCACCGGCUAACUACGUGCCAGCCGCCGCCGUAA
Molecule: ribosomal RNA, 496 nt
Filed under: uncultured bacterium
Lineage: Bacteria
Description: partial 16S ribosomal RNA
Rfam family: Bacterial small subunit ribosomal RNA
Source: RNAcentral